RNAcentral lists this ribosomal RNA (634 nucleotides) under uncultured bacterium. Its description in RNAcentral is "bacterial SSU rRNA". It matches the Rfam family "Bacterial small subunit ribosomal RNA", at positions 9 to 643 of the family's 1533-position model. The record is from RNAcentral.
GAGUUUGAUCAUGGCUCAGAAUAAACGUUGGCGGCGUGCUUAACACAUGCAAGUCGAGCGAGAAAGGUCUUCGGACUGAGUACAGCGGCAAACGGGUGAGUAACACGUGGGAAUCUACCUUUAAGUGAAGAAUACCCUCGAGAAAUCGAGGUUAAUACUGCAUACGUCUCGAAAGAGAGAAAGAUGGCCUCUUUGCUGUCGCUGAAAGAUGAGCCUGCGGACUAUUAGCUAGUUGGUGGGGUAAAGGCCUACCAAGGCUAUGAUGGUUAGCCGGCCUGAGAGGGUGUACGGCCACACUGGAACUUAGACACGGUCCAGACUCCUACGGGAGGCAGCAGUGAGGAAUAUUGCGCAAUGGGCGAAAGCCUGACGCAGCGACGCCGCGUGGAGGAUGAAGGUCUUAGGAUUGUAAACUUCUGUUAAGUGGGAAGAAAGACAAGGUGUUAAUACCACCUUGGGAUGACGGUACCGCUAGAGAAAGCACCGGCUAACUUCGUGCCAGCAGCCGCGGUAAUACGAAGGGUGCAAACGUUAUUCGGAUUUAUUGGGCGUAAAGGGUACGCAGGCGGUGCGUUAAGUCAACUGUUAAAUCUCCCGGCCUAACUGGGAAUCAGCGGUAGAUACUGGCGCACUA